This 62-nucleotide microRNA precursor is filed under the name Capitella teleta. Its description in RNAcentral is "Cte-Mir-184-P16_pre stem-loop". Lineage: Eukaryota; Metazoa; Annelida; Polychaeta; Capitellidae. The record is from RNAcentral.
CCUUACCAUUUCUUUGUCCGGUCCGUGUGAUUAUCAUCACUGGACGGAGAACUGAUAAGGGC